GAAUUUUUCUUAAUUUGUGCAGAGACAAUUAUUAAUAUUAAGGACAAGAAGACCCUAUGAAUUUAUUAAAUUUAUAUUAAUGAGAAUAUCCCAUUAAAUAAAUUUUGGCUGGGGCGGCAAGAAAAUAUCAAAAACUUUUCAGAUAAUAAAAUGAUCCAUUAGUAAUGAUUACAUGUUAAAUACUCUAGGGAUAACAGCGUUAUAUUUUUUGAUAGAUCAUAUUGACAAAAAAGUUUGCGACCUCGAUGUUGGAU
This 254-nucleotide ribosomal RNA is filed under the name Rhipicephalus sp. R29. RNAcentral's name for it is "partial large subunit ribosomal RNA". Lineage: Eukaryota; Metazoa; Arthropoda; Arachnida; Ixodida; Ixodidae. The record is from RNAcentral.